CCGCUUGGAAGUAAACGGAGGAAGUUGACAGAAGCCUGCAGAAUUCAACUUGUGUUUGUGGUGUAGUGCCGGUGACCGAUCAAUUGACGGGAACUAGCAAGUUCACUGCAGCAUGAGUGCACUUUCUGCAGGUGUGCGCUACGACCGCUUAGUACGCCGGCUGAAGGCCAGCAGAUUGCCGACUGUGACUUCGGUCGCAGUGACCCGUCUGUUGGUUUCUGAAGCCCGGGAUGUGCUGAGCGAGCAACGACCGCACUCGCUUGUCUCGAGGUGCGCAGUUUGUGUCGAGGUCGGACUUUUGCGUCUUGCUUGCAAGUCGUAGAGACUCCCACGAUGCAUGACUGUGUAUUCUUGAGUGGUGCAAAUGGUCAGUGGCGUCCGAGUCAGCCUCUCUUCCGACCCGUCUUGAAACACGGACCAAGGAGUCUAGCAUGUGCGCGAGUCAUUGGGCGGCAAACCCAACGGCGUAAUGAAAGUAAAGGUCAACUCUGUUGACUGAGGUAGGAUCACUGGUCUUCGUGACUGGUGCGCACUACCAUCCCGUACCAUCUACUCUGUUAGAGGUGCGGAGACUGAGCGUACACGCUAGGACCCGAAAGAUGGUGAACUAUGCCUGAGCAGGACGAAGUCAGAGGAAACUCUGAUGGAAGUCCGUAGCGGUUCUGACGUGCAAAUCGA
RNAcentral lists this ribosomal RNA (678 nucleotides) under Trefusia sp. BCA10. Its description in RNAcentral is "partial 28S ribosomal RNA". It matches the Rfam family "Eukaryotic large subunit ribosomal RNA", at positions 405 to 901 of the family's 3401-position model. Lineage: Eukaryota; Metazoa; Nematoda; Enoplea; Enoplida; Trefusiidae. The record is from RNAcentral.